Molecule: ribosomal RNA, 253 nt
Filed under: uncultured bacterium
Lineage: Bacteria
Description: partial 16S ribosomal RNA
Rfam family: Bacterial small subunit ribosomal RNA
Source: RNAcentral
UACGGAGGGUGCAAGCGUUAUCCGGAAUUACUGGGUUUAAAGGGUGCGUAGGUGGCUUCAUAAGUCAGGUGUGAAAGCCCAUCGCUUAACGAUAGAAUUGCCUUUGAUACUGUAAAGCUUGAAACGGGUUGAGGUCAGCAGAAUGUGUCAUGUAGCGGUGAAAUGCAUAGAUAUGCGGUAGAACACCGAUUGCGAAGGCAGCUGGCUGGGCCCAGUCUGACGCUGAGGUACGAAAGCGUGGGGAGCGAACAGG